This 64-nucleotide transfer RNA is filed under the name Cyrtanaspis phalerata. RNAcentral describes it as "tRNA-Ile". Lineage: Eukaryota; Metazoa; Arthropoda; Insecta; Coleoptera; Scraptiidae. The record is from RNAcentral.
AAUGAAAUGCCUGAUAAAAGGAUUAUUUUGAUAGAAUAAAAAAUGUAUAUUUAUACUUUCAUUA